UAUCUAAAAAAAAAAAUAUUAAUUGUAUAGAGAUUCUUGCAAAUAUAGUAAAUUACAGAUAUAUUCUACAAAAUUCAAUUUUUAAAUAUAUUCCUACCGUUAGAAUUUAUUAAAAAAAUUUAGUUAAUCAUAGGUUAAAUACGGAUUAAUGAAUGAGACGAGUUGAUCUUUUUAUCAAUCUUUAAUUAACAGUUGAAAUUUUUGUAGGGACAUAUUUCUAAUACGAAAAUGUCAUUUCACUUAUAAAAUAGACAGUAUUUUAACGAUAACAAAUCAGAGGAAUAUAUUUGAAAAUAUUAAGACUUUUGCAGGGAUAAUAUUUGAAAGUUGAAUUUCGUAGAAAUAUAUUUAUAAUUUACUCUAUUUGUAGGGAUAUGUAUAAAA
This 384-nucleotide long non-coding RNA is filed under the name Ananas comosus (pineapple). RNAcentral's name for it is "long non-coding RNA (ACOM_LNC001636)". Lineage: Eukaryota; Viridiplantae; Streptophyta; Magnoliopsida; Poales; Bromeliaceae. The record is from RNAcentral.